Long non-coding RNA from Thalassophryne amazonica, 143 nucleotides. RefSeq lists it as uncharacterized. The transcript is spliced from 3 exons. The record is from RefSeq and is a predicted model, not a curated record. NCBI's taxonomy places the organism in Eukaryota, Metazoa, Chordata, Actinopteri, Batrachoidiformes, Batrachoididae.
GAGGAGGAGAGGGGCUGCUGGGUGGAGGUCAGAGUGAGAGAUGGUUUAUGGAUCCACAGGCGCUCCUACAACACCAACAACACAUGAACAGUAAUAACUCCAAACAUCAAGUUUUAUGGUACUUGGGUUAAGGUGUUUCAUAA